GGCCCUGGGUGGGGCGGCGGCUGACCGGCCGCUCCUCGGGGGACGGGCUCCCGGCGAAGCGGCCGGAGCUGCUGCCGUACGAGCCGCCGCCGGGGCCG
RNAcentral lists this transfer RNA (98 nucleotides) under Streptomyces inusitatus. RNAcentral describes it as "tRNA-Pro". Lineage: Bacteria; Bacillati; Actinomycetota; Actinomycetes; Kitasatosporales; Streptomycetaceae. The record is from RNAcentral.